Dipodomys spectabilis (banner-tailed kangaroo rat) is the source of this 150-nucleotide long non-coding RNA. RefSeq lists it as uncharacterized. The transcript has 3 exons. The record is from RefSeq and is a predicted model, not a curated record. NCBI's taxonomy places the organism in Eukaryota, Metazoa, Chordata, Mammalia, Rodentia, Heteromyidae.
UCUGAUGUAAACUGAGCUGUGCCUUCUAGGUGAAGGACUUUCCACAUUUGUUACAUUCAUAAGGUUUCUCACCUGUGUGAAUUCUCUUAUGGCGGCUGAGGUUUGAAGUCUUAGUGAAGGACUUUCCACAUUUCUUACAUUCAUGUUUCU